GCCGCGAUAGCUCAGUGGUUAGCGCACAGGACUCCGGCCCUUGUGGUCCCGGGUUCAAUUCCCCGUCGCGGCG
This 73-nucleotide transfer RNA is filed under the name Penaeus chinensis. RNAcentral describes it as "tRNA-Arg". It matches the Rfam family "tRNA". From Rfam's summary of the family: Transfer RNA (tRNA) molecules are approximately 80 nucleotides in length. Their secondary structure includes four short double-helical elements and three loops (D, anti-codon, and T loops). Further hydrogen bonds mediate the characteristic L-shaped molecular structure. tRNAs have two regions of fundamental functional importance: the anti-codon, which is responsible for specific mRNA codon recognition, and the 3' end, to which the tRNAs corresponding amino acid is attached (by aminoacyl-tRNA synthetases). tRNAs cope with the degeneracy of the genetic code in two manners: having more than one tRNA (with a specific anti-codon) for a particular amino acid; and 'wobble' base-pairing, i.e. permitting non-standard base-pairing at the 3rd anti-codon position. Lineage: Eukaryota; Metazoa; Arthropoda; Malacostraca; Decapoda; Penaeidae. The record is from RNAcentral.